Molecule: regulatory RNA element, 87 nt
Organism: Paracoccus denitrificans PD1222
Lineage: Bacteria; Pseudomonadati; Pseudomonadota; Alphaproteobacteria; Rhodobacterales; Paracoccaceae
Rfam family: chrB-a RNA
Source: Rfam
GGCAUGGGGUCUUGCGACGCCCCACGAGGCGCCAGCCGAAGUUCGCGUUCCAUUCCGACAACUGACUCAAUGGAGGGAACGCAGAUG